CUAGUAAUCGCAGAUCAGCAUGCUGUGGUGAAUACGUUCCCGGGCCUUGUACACACCGCCGUCACACCAUGGGAGUCGGUAACACCCAAAGUUGGUAGUCUAACCGCAAGGAGGACGCCGCCUAAGGUGGGGUUGAUGAUUAGGGUUAAGUCGUAACAAGGUAGC
RNAcentral lists this ribosomal RNA (165 nucleotides) under uncultured bacterium. RNAcentral's name for it is "partial 16S ribosomal RNA". It matches the Rfam family "Bacterial small subunit ribosomal RNA", at positions 1335 to 1500 of the family's 1533-position model. The record is from RNAcentral.